UACAGAGGCCUCGAGCGUUAGGCGGAAUCACUGGGCUUAAAGCGUGUGUAGGCGGAUCGGUAAGUACCUUGUGAAAUCCCACGGCUUAACUGUGGAACUGCUGGGUAUACUGCCAGUCUUGAGCCACUCAGGGGUUACCGGAACAAAUGGUGGAGCGGUGAAAUGCGUAGAUAUCAUUUGGAACGCCAAUGGUGAAAACAGGUAGCUGGGGGUGUGCUGACGCUGAGACACGAAAGCCAGGGGAGCAAACGGG
This 253-nucleotide ribosomal RNA is filed under the name uncultured bacterium. RNAcentral describes it as "partial 16S ribosomal RNA". It matches the Rfam family "Bacterial small subunit ribosomal RNA", at positions 524 to 776 of the family's 1533-position model. The record is from RNAcentral.